RNAcentral lists this transfer RNA (73 nucleotides) under Camelus bactrianus (Bactrian camel). It matches the Rfam family "tRNA". From Rfam's summary of the family: Transfer RNA (tRNA) molecules are approximately 80 nucleotides in length. RNAcentral also lists the same sequence under 2 other names. The record is from Rfam by way of RNAcentral. Lineage: Eukaryota; Metazoa; Chordata; Mammalia; Artiodactyla; Camelidae.
GAGGGUAUAGCUCAAGUGAUAGAGUGCAUGCUUAGCAUGCAUGAGGUCCUGGGUUCAAUCCCCUGUACUUCCU